UAAUUAACCGGAGGAAAAGAAACUAACAAGGAUUCCCUCAGUAAGGGCGACUGAAGCGGGAAGUGCUCACCGUGUGAAUCUGUACAACAAUUAUGUUGUGCCGAAUUGUGGUCUGUAGAAGUAUUGUCUGAUGGCGUCUCGGGUUAAGUCCUUUGGAAAAAGGCAGCAGAGAGGGUGAGACUCCCGUUCUUGCCUGGGACGUUCGUCAAUGGCACAUGCCUUCAACGAGUCGAGUUGUUUGGGAUUGCAGCUCAAAGUGGGUGGUAAAUUCCAUCUAAAGCUAAAUAUUGGUGGGAGACCGAUAGCGAACAAGUACCGUGAGGGAAAGAUGAAAAGAACUUUGAAAAGAGAGUUAAAGAGUACCUGAAAUUGCUGAAAGGGAAGCAAAGGAAACCAGUGUUGUUUGUGCUCAUUUUUCUCCUGCUGCUUGCAACAGGGGCGCUGUGAGUACGAAUAGGCCAGCAUGGGUUUGGACCGGGGCAAAUCUUUACAUUGGAGGUAGAUCUAUUUCAGAUUGAAGACUUUGUAUUUGUGCUCUGGUUUAGACUGAGGCUAGCAUGUG
Molecule: ribosomal RNA, 562 nt
Filed under: Chaetoceros diadema
Lineage: Eukaryota; Bacillariophyta; Thalassiosirophyceae; Chaetocerotales; Chaetocerotaceae
Description: partial large subunit ribosomal RNA
Rfam family: Eukaryotic large subunit ribosomal RNA
Source: RNAcentral